Perognathus longimembris pacificus (Pacific pocket mouse) is the source of this 464-nucleotide long non-coding RNA. RefSeq lists it as uncharacterized. Lineage: Eukaryota; Metazoa; Chordata; Mammalia; Rodentia; Heteromyidae. The record is from RefSeq and is a predicted model, not a curated record. The transcript has 5 exons.
AAAACCAGUAAGUUUGCCAUUCACGACUCGGAAAAACCACAGGGGGCGCGGGAAGAAAGCACUGUAAAUAAACUAAGGACUGAUUUCCAGCUAAAGCCACACUGAAGUAGAUGUAGACCAGACUUAAAGCUCAGAGGGAGAUGAGACAUCAAAUUUGCACCUUUUCAGGAAAAUGAAAACUUCAGGUCCUUUGCCCAAGCCUAAAUACAAAAGAAGAAGAAAAAGACGCGCUAAUUUUGUACAGAAUUACAUGCCAAUUGAAGACAGCCAAACAGAAUCUUACUUCAGCUUCAAUCCAUUCAAACUCUGUGCUAUGUUGCUGGGUGGACACCCUGAUGGAAUUUCACUUGGAACUACUAUGUGGAACUUUAUUGUGCUGCUUGCUAAAACAUCUCAGGAUUUCAUCAACCUCAUCUCUAUGCAGAUAGAGGGCCACCCACCAAACCACAUCCACCACUGGCCCC